GGGCCCAUAGCUCAGCGGUAGAGCAGGAGACUCAUAAUCUCUUGGUCGUAGGUUCGAAUCCUGCUGGGCCCA
RNAcentral lists this transfer RNA (72 nucleotides) under bacterium. Its description in RNAcentral is "tRNA-Ile". It matches the Rfam family "tRNA". From Rfam's summary of the family: Transfer RNA (tRNA) molecules are approximately 80 nucleotides in length. Their secondary structure includes four short double-helical elements and three loops (D, anti-codon, and T loops). The record is from RNAcentral. RNAcentral also lists the same sequence under 1 other name.